GGCUUUUGGGAUUAGCAUACGGUCACCCGCUAGCUGCCUUCUGUACCCCCCAUUGUAACACGUGUGUAGCCCCGGACGUAAGGGCCGUGCUGAUUUGACGUCAUCCCCACCUUCCUCACAUCUUACGACGGCAGUCUCUCCAGAGUCCUCAGCAUGACCUGUUAGUAACUGAAGAUAAGGGUUGCGCUCGUUAUGGCACUUAAGCCGACACCUCACGGCACGAGCUGACGACAACCAUGCAGCACCUUCACAGCGGUGAUUGCUCACUGACAUGUUUCCACAUCAUUCCACUGCAAUUUAAGCCCGGGUAAGGUUCCUCGCGUAUCAUCGAAUUAAACCACAUGUUCCUCCGCUUGUGCGGGCCCCCGUCAAUUCCUUUGAGUUUCACCGUUGCCGGCGUACUCCCCAGGUGGAAUACUUAAUGCUUUCGCUUGGCCGCUUACUGUAUAUCGCAAACAGCGAGUAUUCAUCGUUUACUGUGUGGACUACCAGGGUAUCUAAUCCUGUUUGAUACCCACACUUUCGAGCAUCAGUGUCAGUUGCAGUCCAGUGAGCUGCCUUCGCAAUCGGAGUUCUUCGUGAUAUCUAAGCAUUUCACCGCUACACCACGAAUUCCGCCCACCUCUACUGUACUCAAGACUGACAGUAUCAACUGCAAUUUUACGGUUGAGCCGCAAACUUUCACAACUGACUUACCAGUCCACCUACGCUCCCUUUAAACCCAAUAAAUCCGGAUAACGCUCGGAUCCUCCGUAUUACCGCGGCUGCUGGCACGGAGUUAGCCGAUCCUUAUUCAUAUAAUACAUACAAAACAGUAUACAUACUGCACUUUAUUCUUAUAUAAAAGAAGUUUACGACCCAUAGAGCCUUCAUCCUUCACGCUACUUGGCUGGUUCAGGCUAACGCCCAUUGACCAAUAUUCCUCACUGCUGCCUCCCGUAGGAGUUUGGACCGUGUCUCAGUUCCAAUGUGGGGGACCUUCCUCUCAGAACCCCUAUCCAUCGAAGGCUUGGUGGGCCGUUACCUCACCAACAACCUAAUGGAACGCAUCCCCAUCCUUUACCGGAAUCCUUUAA
This 1076-nucleotide ribosomal RNA is filed under the name Bacteroides fragilis. Its description in RNAcentral is "partial 16S ribosomal RNA". The record is from RNAcentral. Lineage: Bacteria; Pseudomonadati; Bacteroidota; Bacteroidia; Bacteroidales; Bacteroidaceae.